This is a long non-coding RNA of Oncorhynchus keta (chum salmon), 1130 nucleotides long. RefSeq lists it as uncharacterized. Lineage: Eukaryota; Metazoa; Chordata; Actinopteri; Salmoniformes; Salmonidae. The transcript has 3 exons. The record is from RefSeq and is a predicted model, not a curated record.
ACAGACAGGGACAUUUUAAUCUGUUUAAUGGGGCCGUCUCCCUUUGCUCCCUGGUGCUGUGCCAGAGCAGGGCUGAUGUAUACUGAGGGCUGAGGUAGAGUAGAGGACAGGGCUGAUGUAUACUGAGGGCUGAGGUAGAGUAGAGGACAGGGCUGAUGUAUACUGAGGGCUGAGGUAGAGUAGAGGACAGGGCUGAUGUAUACUGAGGGCUGAGGUAGAGUAGAGGACAGGGCUGAUGUAUACUGAGGGCUGAGGUAGAGUAGAGGACAGGGCUGAUGUAUACUGAGGGCUGAGGUAGAGUAGAGGACAGGGCUGAGGUAUACUGAGGGCUGAGGUAGAGUAGAGGACAGGGCUGAUGUAUACUGAGGGCUGAGGUAGAGUAGAGGACAGGGCUGAUGUAUACUGAGGGCUGAGGUAGAGUAGAGGACAGGGCUGAGGUAUACUGAGGGCUGAGGUAGAGUAGAGGACAGGGCUGAGGUAUACUGAGGGCUGAGGUAGAGUAGAGGACAGGGCUGAGGUAUACUGAGGGCUGAGGUAGAGUAGAGGACAGGGCUGAGGUAUACUGAGGGCUGAGGUAGAGUAGAGGACAGGGCUGAGGUAUACUGAGGGCUGAGGUAGAGUAGAGGACAGGGCUGAUGUAUACUGAGGGCUGAGGUAGAGUAGAGGACAGGGCUGAGGUAUACUGAGGGCUGAGGUAGAGUAGAGGACAGGGCUGAUGUAUACUGAUGGAACUUGCUCAGUCUCUCAGAGCGGAAUGCCCAGGUUAACCAGGGUCACGGUCAGAUACACAGAGAAAUUGCACCAGAGUGGAAAACACUAUAACAUUACAUUACACACACACACACACACACACACACACACACACACACACACACACACACACACACACACACACACACACACACACACACACACACACACACACACACACACACACACACACACACACACACACACACACACACACACGCACGCACACACGCAUGCAUAUGUAAUACAAUGAUAGCCAAGGACAGCAAUAUACACACAUUUAUUUGAAAAACAUUAUUUUAAACAUAAAUAAAGUUUGCUGUCUUUAUGAGUAAAGGAGGCAAGUGAAGCAUUUCCUGUUUGAGGAGUUGGUAAAGAAC